This 252-nucleotide ribosomal RNA is filed under the name uncultured bacterium. Its description in RNAcentral is "partial 16S ribosomal RNA". It matches the Rfam family "Bacterial small subunit ribosomal RNA", at positions 524 to 776 of the family's 1533-position model. The record is from RNAcentral.
UACGAAGGGGGCUAGCGUUGCUCGGAAUCACUGGGCGUAAAGGGUGCGUAGGCGGGUCUUAAGUCAGGGGUGAAAUCCUGGAGCUCAACUCCAGAACUGCCUUUGAUACUGAAGAUCUUGAGUCCGGAAGAGGUGAGUGGAACUCCUAGUGUAGAGGUGGAAUUCGUAGAUAUUAGGAAGAACACCAGUGGCGAAGGCGGCUCACUGGUCCGGUACUGACGCUGAGGUGCGAAAGCGUGGGGAGCAAACAGG